This is a long non-coding RNA of Cyprinus carpio carpio, 240 nucleotides long. NCBI's taxonomy places the organism in Eukaryota, Metazoa, Chordata, Actinopteri, Cypriniformes, Cyprinidae. The record is from Ensembl.
AUGAAGUAUUUCUCAAAGGAAGUCCACCCUCAUCCGUGUCCCUCUUACCCACACGUCUCACUCCUGCAAUUACAGGCUUCUGCCCGGCCUUUGCAGGGCGCCUGUGUGCGAGUGAAGACGAGUGAUGGAGAUGAACUAUCUUUGCUGAAAAGGUUGGCGGAUGUGCAUCAGCAUGGAAAAACAAUCCAGGCCAGGGACUGUGUAUUUCUCCCAGCGUGGGAAACAGAACAGGCUAAAUGA